AUUGAACGCUGGCGGCAGGCCUAACACAUGCAAGUCGAGCGGAUGAAGGGAGCUUGCUCCUGGAUUCAGCGGCGGACGGGUGAGUAAUGCCUAGGAAUCUGCCUGGUAGUGGGGGAUAACGUCCGGAAACGGGCGCUAAUACCGCAUACGUCCUGAGGGGGAAAGUGGGGGAUCUUCGGACCUCACGCUAUCAGAUGAGCCUAGGUCGGAUUAGCUAGUUGGUGGGGUAAAGGCCUACCAAGGCGACGAUCCGUAACUGGUCUGAGAGGAUGAUCAGUCACACUAGAACUGAGACACGGUCCAGACUCCUACGGGAGGCAGCAGUGGGGAAUAUUGGACAAUGGGCGAAAGCCUGAUCCAGCCAUGCCGCGUGUGUGAAGAAGGUCUUCGGAUUGUAAAGCACUUUAAGUUGGGAGGAAGGGCAGUAAGUUAAUACCUUGCUGUUUUGACGUUACCAACAGAAUAAGCACCGGCUAACUUCGUG
This 484-nucleotide ribosomal RNA is filed under the name uncultured bacterium. RNAcentral's name for it is "partial 16S ribosomal RNA". It matches the Rfam family "Bacterial small subunit ribosomal RNA", at positions 30 to 507 of the family's 1533-position model. The record is from RNAcentral.